GAAUAGAUACCCUGGUAGUCCACGCCCUAAACGAUGCGAACUGGAUGUUGGGUACAUUACGGUACUCAGUGUCGAAGCUAACGCGUUAAGUUCGCCGCCUGGGGAGUACGGUCGCAAGACUGAAACUCAAAGGAAUUGACGGGGGCCCGCACAAGCGGUGGAGUAUGUGGUUUAAUUCGAUGCAACGCGAAGAACCUUACCUGGCCUUGACAUCUGUCGAAUCCUGCAGAGAUGCGGGAGUGCCGCAAGGAACGACAAGACAGGUGCUGCAUGGCUGUCGUCAGCUCGUGUCGUGAGAUGUUGGGUUAAGUCCCGCAACGAGCGCAACCCUUGUCCCUAGUUGCCAACACGUAAUGGUGGGAACUCUAGGGAGACUGCCGGUGACAAACCGGAGGAAGGUGGGGAUGACGUCAAGUCCUCAUGGCCCUUACGGCCAGGGCUACACACGUACUACAAUGGUCGGUACAGAGGGUUGCGAAGCCGCGAGGUGGAGCCAAUCCCGAGAAAGCCGAUCCCGAGUCCGGAUUGGAGUCUGCAACCG
This 541-nucleotide ribosomal RNA is filed under the name uncultured bacterium. Its description in RNAcentral is "bacterial SSU rRNA". It matches the Rfam family "Bacterial small subunit ribosomal RNA", at positions 776 to 1313 of the family's 1533-position model. The record is from RNAcentral.